Long non-coding RNA from Symphalangus syndactylus (siamang), 701 nucleotides. RefSeq lists it as uncharacterized. NCBI's taxonomy places the organism in Eukaryota, Metazoa, Chordata, Mammalia, Primates, Hylobatidae. The record is from RefSeq and is a predicted model, not a curated record.
CCUCUCCAAGGAGAACCCUGAACUCACCGUCUCGCUCCGCUCUUAUGGGGGGAGAGGAAUAGUUUCACGCCCACCUGCCCGCCGCCUCUCCUCCCCCGGCACCCCCUGCCUCAGCCGGGCGCGCGCGAGCUGCUACCGGCAUCAACGGUCCCGCCCGCUACCCGCUCCCUGGCAGCCCCGGCCGGCAGCUCCCCCGGCGGCCGCCUCUGCACCACUCGCCAACCUCCACGCCGGGCCGAGGUCAUGCCCGCCUGCCCCCAGCGCCGGGCGGCCCCCUCCUCGUGCCAGCCGGCCGCUCGGGAGCCGGGCUGGGGAAGGGGCCCGCGGCGGAGUUGGCUCGGGGACUCACCAGAUAAUGCAUCCACUUCAUAAAAAGGUUUGAGGGAGACACAUCUCACACAUGAAAACCCAAUCAUCGUGUUUAUAAACCGCAAAAGGAGCAAGAACCUAAGAUGCCACUAAUUGUAAAAUGCACCAUUAUUGUACAUACUUCUGAGAAAGUUCACGAAAAGAAGCUCAAGGUGAAGAAUUUAGCGUGAGACUUUCCACACAAAGCUGGCCUACUGAAGUAAGGACACACGAGAAAUGAACCCAGCAUGUAGAAAGGGACAGCAAGGAAACUUGCCAGUUUCAACCUUAGCCCCAGAUGGAAGGAGAAAGAAAAGUCUCUCCUUUUCAGGAGAGAAUCAGGAGGUGAUCAU